GCGGUUGUAGCUCAGUUGGUAGAGCACCACCUUGCCAAGGUGGAUGUCGCGAGUUCGAGUCUCGUCAACCGCUC
Molecule: transfer RNA, 74 nt
Filed under: Rothia amarae
Lineage: Bacteria; Bacillati; Actinomycetota; Actinomycetes; Micrococcales; Micrococcaceae
Also listed under: 1 other name
Description: tRNA-Gly
Rfam family: tRNA
About the family: Transfer RNA (tRNA) molecules are approximately 80 nucleotides in length. Their secondary structure includes four short double-helical elements and three loops (D, anti-codon, and T loops).
Source: RNAcentral